RNAcentral lists this ribosomal RNA (302 nucleotides) under uncultured bacterium. RNAcentral's name for it is "partial 16S ribosomal RNA". It matches the Rfam family "Bacterial small subunit ribosomal RNA", at positions 508 to 807 of the family's 1533-position model. The record is from RNAcentral.
GCAGCAGCCACGGUAAUACGAAGGGUGCAAGCGUUACUCGGAAUUACUGGGCGUAAAGCGUGCGUAGGUGGUGGUUUAAGUCCGUUGUGAAAGCCCUGGGCUCAACCUGGGAAUUGCAGUGGAUACUGGGUCACUAGAGUGUGGUAGAGGAUAGUGGAAUUUCCGGUGUAGCAGUGAAAUGCGUAGAGAUCGGAAGGAACAUCUGUGGCGAAGGCGACUAUCUGGGCCAACACUGACACUGAGGCACGAAAGCGUGGGGAGCAAACAGGAUUAGAUACCCCGGUAGUCCCUGUCUCUUAUAC